UCCGGCGUGGUGUAAUGGUUCAACAUCGCUGUCUUUCAUUCGGAGAACAGAGAAUAUAACGGCGAUGAUCACAGCAGCUCGGGGUUCGAUUCCCCGCGCCGGAA
Molecule: non-coding RNA, 104 nt
Organism: Favolaschia claudopus
Lineage: Eukaryota; Fungi; Basidiomycota; Agaricomycetes; Agaricales; Mycenaceae
Source: the annotation of a GenBank genome assembly